This 279-nucleotide ribosomal RNA is filed under the name uncultured bacterium. RNAcentral's name for it is "partial 16S ribosomal RNA". It matches the Rfam family "Bacterial small subunit ribosomal RNA", at positions 506 to 784 of the family's 1533-position model. The record is from RNAcentral.
UGCCAGCCGCCGCGGUAAUACGGAGGGUGCAAGCGUUAAUCGGAAUUACUGGGCGUAAAGCGCGCGUAGGCGGCUUGUUAAGUCGGAUGUGAAAGCCCUGGGCUCAACCUGGGAAUUGCAUUCGAUACUGGCGAGCUAGAGUAUGGGAGAGGGUUGUGGAAUUCCACGUGUAGCGGUGAAAUGCGUAGAUAUGUGGAGGAACAUCAGUGGCGAAGGCGGCAGCCUGGCCCAAUACUGACGCUGAGGUGCGAAAGCGUGGGGAGCAAACAGGAUUAGAUA